Long non-coding RNA from Parus major (Great Tit), 1703 nucleotides. NCBI's taxonomy places the organism in Eukaryota, Metazoa, Chordata, Aves, Passeriformes, Paridae. The record is from Ensembl.
CUUCUGGGCCUGGUUUUCCAGUGUUCCCGAUAAACCUAAGGACAAGGGUGCAGGGACAUUAAUGAAACUCUUAUCUUCUGGUCCUGAAUCUUCAACCCAACAGAUGUGCUCUGGAAGUUGUGAAAUACUUGGCUUUUUUCCUAGAAGCUUUCUGUGACCAACCCCUCCUUCUGGUAGUUCUGGGUAGGAGAACACCUAGGUCUUGUGUUAGAUGCUCAUUUCUACUGUUUCCCCAAGAAUCAUGAAAGAAGCACAUUUACAGAAACUCCUGUAGUGGAGAGCUGCUUUCUUCCAGCCAACUCUCUCUCCCAAAUGGAAGGGAGGAAUCUUCCAUAUGACCAAACUGAUGAGUAAAAUCUUCAGGAACAGGCACCUCACAACUAAGCUGCUGACUUUGGCACUUGACUCCAGCUCUAACCAACCACAGUAUAAAGACAUGUACCUGAGCUGCUGCGGUGCAGAGUGGCAGAGGAGCCAUUCACAAAGCUCCAGCCCAGGAGCUGCUGGAAUGUACACACUCAUGGAAUCAGACAAUAUGCUCAGCUGGAUGGGACUCAUCAGAAUUAUCAAGUCCAACUCCUGGCCCUGCACAGGAUGCCAACAAGAAUCACACCAUGUGCCCAAGAGUAUUGUCCAAACACUUGUGGAGUUCUGUCAGGCUUGGUGUUGUGACACUUCACUGAGGAGCCUGUUCCAGUGCUAAACCACCCUUGGUGAAGAAAAGCUUUUUCCUGAUAUCCAACCCAAACCUCCCUCAGCUCACCUUCAUGCUGUUUCCUCUAAUCCUGUCGCUGGUCAUAAGCAUGAAGAGAUCAGUGUCUUCCCCUCUGCUUCAGCCCAAGAUGAGAAAGGUAUAAAGUUAACUUCAAAUUAAUGACAGGCUUGUUCUGUUAUUUUGGUGUCCAGUGGUUUAAGGAAGCCACUGCAUAUUCCAUCAAAUCCUACCCAGCUCUUCAGAAAAAUCACUAAUUUAAAUAUUCAGAUACUUUGUCACUCACAAGAAGAGAGGCUGAAUCCACUGAUUUCUGUUUCAUUAGUAUCCAUUUAUUGCUGCAUCAUAAACAACAUUUGUAAUGAAACAGUGGCUUUUCUUGAGUUUGUUUUUAUUUUUUAAUUUCAGAAUAGCAACACCAGAGGACUUGGGGUUCAAUCCCAUGCAAGACUGUGGAAAAGAAAUUAAUGUGCCUUCCAUGGGCAUUGGAAGAACACUACUGUAGAAAAACCAGAAGAGCAGGCUAUUUGAAACAGACUGAAAGGGACAAACCUACAUGACUUCAAGUUGUGUUUAAUGCUACAUUUGCAUGUCAAGAUUACUCUGGUAGAUGUGGCCACUGCUGAUAUUUGAGACACAGUGCAGAAUCCAUGCAAAACCUCACUGGGAAAGGGGACCAAAUAGCUGUUUUCUCCUUUCUGUGCUGCUUAGGCAUAUUCACUUGGCUCGAAAUAAUCAAGUAAAUUCAUCAUAUUCUUUGCCUCUGCCUUAACUCUUCACUCCCAAAGCUACACCCAAAGCCAAUUAUAUAGAAUCCUAUAAGGUAAAUAUCCCUGGUUGUACAAAAACAAAUGCACUACAUGUUUAUUUUUAUGAACUGCUAAGAAUCACAAGUCAUCUUCUCCAAACACACUUGUGAACAGAAAAUGGUCAUAUGAAGGUAUUGGCAAAAAGCUGAUACCAGAGUAGAAUUUAAAUCAAUCACAGGGGU